UACGAAGGGGGCUAGCGUUGCUCGGAAUUACUGGGCGUAAAGCGCACGUAGGCGGCUUUCUAAGUCGGGGGUGAAAUCCUGGAGCUCAACUCCAGAACUGCCUUCGAUACUGGAGAGCUCGAGUCCGGGAGAGGUGAGUGGAACUGCGAGUGUAGAGGUGAAAUUCGUAGAUAUUCGCAAGAACACCAGUGGCGAAGGCGGCUCACUGGCCCGGUACUGACGCUGAGGUGCGAAAAGCGUGGGGAGCAAACAGG
Molecule: ribosomal RNA, 254 nt
Filed under: uncultured bacterium
Lineage: Bacteria
Description: partial 16S ribosomal RNA
Rfam family: Bacterial small subunit ribosomal RNA
Source: RNAcentral